UACAGAGGGUGCAAGCGUUGUUCGGAAUUAUUGGGCGUAAAGCGCGUGUAGGCGGCUUUGCAAGUCGGGUGUGAAAGCCCUCAGCUCAACUGAGGAAGUGCGCCCGAAACUGCAGAGCUUGAGUGCCGGAGAGGGUGGCGGAAUUCCCCAAGUAGAGGUGAAAUUCGUAGAUAUGGGGAGGAAUACCGGAGGCGAAGGCGGCCAACUGGGAAUGCAUUGACACUGAGGUGCGAAAGCGUGGGGAGCAAACAGG
RNAcentral lists this ribosomal RNA (253 nucleotides) under uncultured bacterium. Its description in RNAcentral is "partial 16S ribosomal RNA". It matches the Rfam family "Bacterial small subunit ribosomal RNA", at positions 524 to 776 of the family's 1533-position model. The record is from RNAcentral.